GACGAACGCUGGCGGCGUGCUUAACACAUGCAAGUCGAACGGAAAGGCCCUGCUUUUGUGGGGUGCUCGAGUGGCGAACGGGUGAGUAACACGUGAGUAACCUGCCCUUGACUUUGGGAUAACUUCAGGAAACUGGGGCUAAUACCGGAUAGGAGCUCCUGCUGCAUGGUGGGGGUUGGAAGGUUUCGGCGGUUGGGGAUGGACUCGCGGCUUAUCAGCUUGUUGGUGGGGUAGUGGCUUACCAAGGCCUUGACGGGUAGCCGGCCUGAGAGGGUGACCGGCCACAUUGGGACUGAGAUACGGCCCAGACUCCUACGGGAGGCAGCAGUGGGGAAUAUUGCACAAUGGGCGGAAGCCUGAUGCAGCAACGCCGCGUGCGGGAUGACGGCCUUCGGGUUGUAAACCGCUUUCGCCUGUGACGAAGCGUGAGUGACGGUAAUGGGUAAAGAAGCACCGGCUAACUACGUG
Molecule: ribosomal RNA, 468 nt
Filed under: uncultured bacterium
Lineage: Bacteria
Description: partial 16S ribosomal RNA
Rfam family: Bacterial small subunit ribosomal RNA
Source: RNAcentral